RNAcentral lists this ribosomal RNA (465 nucleotides) under Vreelandella stevensii. RNAcentral's name for it is "partial 16S ribosomal RNA". It matches the Rfam family "Bacterial small subunit ribosomal RNA", at positions 338 to 795 of the family's 1533-position model. The record is from RNAcentral. Lineage: Bacteria; Pseudomonadati; Pseudomonadota; Gammaproteobacteria; Oceanospirillales; Halomonadaceae.
CCUACGGGUGGCAGCAGUGGGGAAUAUUGGACAAUGGGGGGAACCCUGAUCCAGCCAUGCCGCGUGUGUGAAGAAGGCCCUCGGGUUGUAAAGCACUUUCAGUGAGGAAGAACGCCUGGUGGUUAAUACCCAUCAGGAAAGACAUCACUCACAGAAGAAGCACCGGCUAACUCCGUGCCAGCAGCCGCGGGAAUACGGAGGGUGCGAGCGUUAAUCGGAAUUACUGGGCGUAAAGCGCGCGUAGGUGGCUUGAUAAGCCGGUUGUGAAAGCCCCGGGCUCAACCUGGGAACGGCAUCCGGAACUGUCAAGCUAGAGUGCAGGAGAGGAAGGUAGAAUUCCCGGUGUAGCGGUGAAAUGCGUAGAGAUCGGGAGGAAUACCAGUGGCGAAGGCGGCCUUCUGGACUGACACUGACACUGAGGUGCGAAAGCGUGGGUAGCAAACAGGAUUAGAUACCCGAGUAGUC